CUGCAUUUUACCCUCCCUGAUGGGGCUCAGUGUGCAGCAGCUGGAAAAAGUAGAUGCCCUGUUUAUCUAUGCAGCUCAAUUGUUGUACGUGUUGCUUUAAGGGGCCUUGAAGACUCUU
Pongo abelii (Sumatran orangutan) is the source of this 118-nucleotide small nucleolar RNA. Its record names the gene SNORA70. It matches the Rfam family "Small nucleolar RNA SNORA70". Rfam says of the family: snoRNA U70 seems to be exclusive to mammals and is a member of the H/ACA class of snoRNA which contain H (ANANNA) and ACA box motifs. NCBI's taxonomy places the organism in Eukaryota, Metazoa, Chordata, Mammalia, Primates, Hominidae. The record is from Ensembl.